This 496-nucleotide ribosomal RNA is filed under the name uncultured bacterium. RNAcentral's name for it is "bacterial SSU rRNA". It matches the Rfam family "Bacterial small subunit ribosomal RNA", at positions 9 to 507 of the family's 1533-position model. The record is from RNAcentral.
AAGUUUGAUCAUGGCUCAGGAUGAACGCUAGCGGAGGCCUAACACAUGCAAGCCGAGCGGUAGAGAUUCUUCGGAAUCUUGAGAGCGGCGUACGGGUGCGGAACACGUGUGCAACCUACCUUUAUCUGGAGGAUAGCCUUUCGAAAGGAAGAUUAAUACUCCAUAAUAUAUUGAUUGGCAUCGAUUGAUAUUGAAAGCUCCGGCGGAUAGAGAUGGGCACGCGCAAGAUUAGCUAGUUGGUGAGGUAACGGCUCACCAAGGCGAUGAUCUUUAGGGGGCCUGAGAGGGUGAUCCCCCACACUGGUACUGAGACACGGACCAGACUCCUACGGGAGGCAGCAGUAAGGAAUAUUGGUCAAUGGGUGCAAGCCUGAACCAGCCAUCCCGCGUGAAGGACGACUGCCCUAUGGGUUGUAAACUUCUUUGUAUAGGGAUAAACCUACCCUCGUGAGGGUAGCUGAAGGUACUAUACGAAUAAGCACCGGCUAACUCCGUG